AUUGAACGCUGGCGGCAGGCUUAACACAUGCAAGUCGAGCGGGGUGAUGGUGCUUGCACUGUCACUUAGCGGCGGACGGGUGAGUAAUGCUUAGGAAUCUGCCUAUUAGUGGGGGACAACAUCUCGAAAGGGAUGCUAAUACCGCAUACGUCCUACGGGAGAAAGCAGGGGAUCACUUGUGACCUUGCGCUACUAGAUGAGCCUAAGUCGGAUUAGCUAGUUGGUGGGGUAAAGGCCUACCGAGGCGACGAUCUGUAGCGGGUCUGGGAGGAUGAUCCGCCACACUGGGACUGAGACACGGCCCAGACUCCUACGGGAGGCAGCAGUGGGGAAUAUUGGACAAUGGGGGGAACCCUGAUCCAGCCAUGCCGCGUGUGUGAAGAAGGCCUUAUGGUUGUAAAGCACUUUAAGCGAGGAGGAGGCUCUUUUGGUUAAUACCCAAGAUGAGUGGACGUUACUCGCAGAAUAAGCACCGGCUAACUCUGUGCCAGCAGCCGCCGUAA
This 503-nucleotide ribosomal RNA is filed under the name uncultured bacterium. RNAcentral's name for it is "partial 16S ribosomal RNA". It matches the Rfam family "Bacterial small subunit ribosomal RNA", at positions 30 to 523 of the family's 1533-position model. The record is from RNAcentral.